GUGGGGAAUAUUGGACAAUGGGCGAAAGCCUGAUCCAGCCAUGCCGCGUGUGUGAAGAAGGUCUUCGGAUUGUAAAGCACUUCAAGUUGGGAGGAAGGGCAGUAAGUUAAUACCUUGCUGUUUUGACGUUACCGACAGAAUAAGCACCGGCUAACUUCGUGCCAGCAGCCGCGGUAAUACGAAGGGUGCAAGCGUUAAUCGGAAUUACUGGGCGUAAAGCGCGCGUAGGUGGUUUUGUAAGUUGGAGGUGAAAUCCCCGGGCUCAACCUGGGAACUGCCUCCAAAACUGCAUGACUAGAGUACGGUAGAGGGUAGUGGAAUUUCCUGUGUAGCGGUGAAAUGCGUAGAUAUAGGAAGGAACACCAGUGGCGAAGGCGACUACCUGGACUGAUACUGACACUGAGGUGCGAAAGCGUGGGGAGCAAACAGGAUUAGAAACCCUAGUAGUCC
This 450-nucleotide ribosomal RNA is filed under the name uncultured bacterium. RNAcentral's name for it is "partial 16S ribosomal RNA". It matches the Rfam family "Bacterial small subunit ribosomal RNA", at positions 354 to 796 of the family's 1533-position model. The record is from RNAcentral.